GCGAAGCGGGAAGAGCCCAGAAUGAAAAGCUCCCGUCAGGGCGCAUUGUAAUCUGGAGACGUGCCUCGUGCGGGGCGGCUGGACUCAAGUCUGCUGGAAAGCAGCAUCGUAGAGGGUGAAAAUCCCGUGCUUGGUCUGGCUCUGCACCGUGUUGUGGGGCGCGCUCGACGAGUCGCGUUGUUUGGGAAUGCAGCGCAAAGUAGGGUGGUAAACGCCAUCCAAGGCUAAAUAUGGGGGAGAGACCGAUAGCGAACAAGUACCGUGAGGGAAAGAUGAAAAGAACUUUGGAAAGAGAGUUAAACAGUACGUGAAAUUGCCAAAAGGGAAGCGUUGGCAGUCAGUACCGCAAGGUGUGCCCUGUCUCCUUUUCUUACGGAAAGGAUCAAGGGGUGCACGUGGGGCUCAUGUCGGUUUGCGGCGGGGGAGAAGUCUGUGGGGAAGGUGGCUCUUGCUUCGGCAGGAGUGUUAUAGCCCUGCAGCGGAUACUCUGCCUUGCGGACCGAGGCUUACCCCUCGCAAGGGGGGUAGGACAUGGGCUUAAUGGCUUUCAGCGGCCCGUCUUGAAACACGGACCAAGGAGUCUAACAUGUSUGCGAGUAUGUGGGUGGCAAACCCGGCGUGCGUAAUGAAAGUGAUUUUGGUAYGAUUCMGUAACMGGAUGCAGUACCGGCCGGCCCUGAGGGUGCGCCCAAAAGGGGUCUGAGCAAGAGCAUACAUGUUGGGACCCGAAAGAUGGUGAACUUUACCUGACGAGGACGAAGCCAGGGGAAACCCCGGUGGAGGUCCGUUGCGGUUCUGACGUGCAAAUCGAUCGUAUCAGUUGGGUAAAGGGGCG
RNAcentral lists this ribosomal RNA (835 nucleotides) under Moniliella megachiliensis. Its description in RNAcentral is "eukaryotic LSU rRNA". It matches the Rfam family "Eukaryotic large subunit ribosomal RNA", at positions 93 to 925 of the family's 3401-position model. Lineage: Eukaryota; Fungi; Basidiomycota; Moniliellomycetes; Moniliellales; Moniliellaceae. The record is from RNAcentral.